RNAcentral lists this ribosomal RNA (253 nucleotides) under uncultured bacterium. RNAcentral's name for it is "partial 16S ribosomal RNA". It matches the Rfam family "Archaeal small subunit ribosomal RNA", at positions 474 to 727 of the family's 1478-position model. The record is from RNAcentral.
UACCCGCAGCUCAAGUGGUGGUCAUUAUUAUUGGGCCUAAAGCGUCCGUAGCUGGCUUGUUAGAUGCCUGGGUAAAUCGAUGCGCUUAACGCAUCGAAUUCCGGGUAGACCGGCAAGCUCGAGACCGGGAGAGGCGUGAGCUACUCGAGGGGUAGGGGUAAAAUCCUGUAAUCCUUCGGGGAGGACCAGUGGCGAAGGCGUCACGCUAGAACGGCUCUGACAGUGAGGGACGAAGCCCUGGGGCGCAAACCGG